UAUGAUGUGUGAUUCUUUUAAUAAAAAAAAAAAAAGCAGUAAUCAAAGGAAAAUUGCUGUGGUAUAAGAUAAAUAAAACACUUGGUCCUUGGUUAUUUUCCUAUAACAGAACAACACAGUGUUUUAUUUCUUACAUGGUUACUUGAGGUUAUGGGUUUAGACCUUCGCCAUCACACAUGGAGAACCAGACGCGAGUGAAGUCUCCAGAAGGUUCUCUAAGAUGGAGGAAAAAAGGAAGCAGACGAUGUACCUGAUGCAGUAUUGAAGCUGAAGUCAACGCUGGAUUUGAGAAAAGAUUAUUCAUUAAAGAUUCGGCCGUACCUACUUAAUUUGAACCAUCUUGCGCCUCUGGAUCACAACCUAGAGAACAUGAGAACCCAGAGGAAACCCCAUGUGAACACAGACAGGAACCUGAGCUCAGGUUCGAACCCGGG
Long non-coding RNA from Ictalurus punctatus (channel catfish), 434 nucleotides. The record is from Ensembl. Lineage: Eukaryota; Metazoa; Chordata; Actinopteri; Siluriformes; Ictaluridae.